Molecule: unclassified non-coding RNA, 376 nt
Filed under: uncultured Chloroflexota bacterium
Lineage: Bacteria; Bacillati; Chloroflexota
Description: uncultured Chloroflexi bacterium contains 16S-23S intergenic spacer region
Source: RNAcentral
UCCGGCUUAACGCCGGCAGUCUACCUAGAGUGCCCAACUUAAUGGUGGCAACUAAGUACGAGGGUUGCGCUCGUUGCGGGACUUAACCCAACACCUCACGGCACGAGCUGACGACAGCCAUGCACCACCUGUGAAAGUGUCCCGAAGGAAAACCGUGUUUCCACGGCUGUCACUUACAUGUCAAGCCUUGGUAAGGUUCUUCGCGUUGCCUCGAAUUAAACCACACGCUCCGCUGCUUGUGCGGGCCCCCGCCUAUUCCUUUGAGUUUUAACCUUGCGGCCGUAGUCCCCAGGCGGUGAACUUAAUGCGUUAGCUGCGGCACUGAUCGGGUCAAUCCGACCAACACCUAGUUCACAACGUUUAGGGCGUGGACUAC